RNAcentral lists this long non-coding RNA (803 nucleotides) under Anser brachyrhynchus (Pink-footed goose). Its description in RNAcentral is "lncRNA (ENSABRG00000011393.1)". Lineage: Eukaryota; Metazoa; Chordata; Aves; Anseriformes; Anatidae. The record is from RNAcentral.
UGUAUCUCUUCUCAGGUGACCCUUAUUAUUAGCCUGCUGGGAGCUUGCUAUUUUUAGAUAUCUUUUCAUGUAGAGGAAACAGGAAGCAGCUGUAAUUAAUAGAUCUGCAUUUAUAUACUCACUGCACUGGCCUUGAAGGGCUAGACUUUGCUAGCAGUUAGAGCAGUGUGGUUGCUUCUUGGUUAGUGUAGGUAUUUACAGAAGUAUCUGCAGCUGGUAUUUUGCUCCUCUGACCUUGAGGAACUGAGCUGCUGGCAUGGGAAGACCUGAAACUCACAGAACCCUCUUUAGGAUGUUGGGGCUGAACCUGUGCCAUCCUCCCUUACCAAGGCUCCUUCAGCCCCUGCCUCUGGGCUCCUCCUCCUUCCAGCAGCCUAAUUUUGGGAGAUGCUCAGCUGAGUGCACAACAAGGCUGUGAGACACUGGGACUUUAAAUCCAUACUUUGGGAGGCCUGAAAAUCACCUAGCUGGAGUGAAGAGACGGCAACAGGUCACCAAACGGGUGCAGCCAGCAGCAUCACUGCAGGAGGGGGGAGCCUGACCACCAAGCACAUCAGUUUUCACAGCAGUUUCUGACUUGGUGAGGCAUUCUAUCAAUAUCCUAAGGCUGAUCUUUAAGCAGCAGUUGGUUGAGUUGUAAUCCGUACAUCUGGAAACAGCUUGUGUAUCACAGAGAAUAUGUGCAGAGGAGGCUGCUCCUAUAUUUGUGUCCCAUGUGUUUGCUUUUAUUUGAUUUUGUAUUUGGGUGGGAAAGGAAAAGAGGAAAUUCUCUGACAUUUUCACAUGCUUUUUUUUUUUUUUUU